This 466-nucleotide ribosomal RNA is filed under the name uncultured bacterium. Its description in RNAcentral is "partial 16S ribosomal RNA". It matches the Rfam family "Bacterial small subunit ribosomal RNA", at positions 28 to 506 of the family's 1533-position model. The record is from RNAcentral.
GAUGAACGCUGACAGAAUGCUUAACACAUGCAAGUCAACUUGAAUUUGGGUUUUUAACUUCGGUUUGGGUGGCGGACGGGUGAGUAACGCGUAAAGAACUUGCCUCACAGCUAGGGACAACAUUUGGAAACGAAUGCUAAUACCUAAUAUUAUGAUAAUAGGGCAUCCUAUAAUUAUGAAAGCUAUAAGCGCUGUGAGAGAGCUUUGCGUCCCAUUAGCUAGUUGGAGAGGUAACGGCUCACCAAGGCGAUGAUGGGUAGCCGGUCUGAGAGGGUGAUCGGCCACAAGGGGACUGAGACACGGCCCUUACUCCUACGGGAGGCAGCAGUGGGGAAUAUUGGACAAUGGACCGAGAGUCUGAUCCAGCAAUUCUGUGUGCACGAUGAAGUUUUUCGGAAUGUAAAGUGCUUUCAGUUGGGAAGAAACAAAUGACGGUACCAACAGAAGAAGGGACGGCUAAAUACGU